This 301-nucleotide ribosomal RNA is filed under the name uncultured bacterium. Its description in RNAcentral is "partial 16S ribosomal RNA". It matches the Rfam family "Bacterial small subunit ribosomal RNA", at positions 509 to 809 of the family's 1533-position model. The record is from RNAcentral.
CAGCAGCCGCGGUAAUACGAAGGGUGCAAGCGUUACUCGGAAUUACUGGGCGUAAAGCGUGCGUAGGUGGUGGUUUAAGUCCGUUGUGAAAGCCCUGGGCUCAACCUGGGAAUUGCAGUGGAUACUGGGUCACUAGAGUGUGGUAGAGGAUAGUGGAAUUUCCGGUGUAGCAGUGAAAUGCGUAGAGACCGGAAGGAACAUCUGUGGCGAAGGCGACUAUCUGGGCCAACACUGACACUGAGGCACGAAAGCGUGGGGAGCAAACAGGAUUAGAUACCCGAGUAGUCCCUGUCUCUUAUAA